This is a long non-coding RNA of Calypte anna (Anna's hummingbird), 726 nucleotides long. RefSeq lists it as uncharacterized. The transcript is spliced from 3 exons. Lineage: Eukaryota; Metazoa; Chordata; Aves; Apodiformes; Trochilidae. The record is from RefSeq and is a predicted model, not a curated record.
GGAGCCCGAACGCUGCUCCUGCUCCCGCUCCCGCUCCCUCAGGAGUUCGGCGGUGCCGGCAAAGGCCCGGCCCGGCCCGGCCGCCUCAGCCCGCUCCCGGCAGCCCCUUCGCCCGGGCGGGACGGCGAGACGCCGGUUCGAAUCCCCCGCCCGGGGUUCGCAACCCAACCGGGGUUCGGAACCCAACUGGCGUUCAGAACCCAUCCGGUUCCGGCGCUCACAUCCCCGCCUGGGUCAGGAGGGAAGAGCCCCGAGCUGGGGUUAUGUCCGCCGGCACCUGGAAGCUGGACCGGACCGGGCCCGGUUUGUGUCCCCUGGGACCUGGAAGCCACGUCUGAGCCGGACCGGACCGGGCCCAGUUUGUGUCCCCCGGCACCUUGGACCCGCAGUUGGGCCGGACCGGGUCGGGCUGGGCCGGGUCCGUCCCCCCCGGUACUUGGAAGCUGCGGCUGGGCCGAACCGGAGCUGGACUGGACCGGGCCGGGCCAAAAGAUUCCCGGUCCUGGCAGGAAGAUUGUGGCUCCCCUGGAGCUUGGUUAAAGAGUUGAGUGAUGAUCCCUGCUCUCCAUAAAGGAGAGCCUCAAUCCUGUGCCAAAUGCCAGCAGAAACCAACGUGCUGUGAACUCUGAGGUCAGAGAUGAGCCAGUGUGCUUCUUACAGAAGAUGAAUCGUGGCUAAUUCUUAUUUGGAGAGGUAAAAAUAAAAAUAAAAAUCAGUCCACCAGCU